AUGAACGCUGGCGGCGUGCCUAAUACAUGCAAGUCGAGCGAACAGACGAGGAGCUUGCUCCUCUGACGUUAGCGGCGGACGGGUGAGUAACACGUGGAUAACCUACCUAUAAGACUGGGAUAACUUCGGGAAACCGGAGCUAAUACCGGAUAAUAUAUUGAACCGCAUGGUUCAAUAGUGAAAGACGGUUUUGCUGUCACUUAUAGAUGGAUCCGCGCCGCAUUAGCUAGUUGGUAAGGUAACGGCUUACCAAGGCGACGAUGCGUAGCCGACCUGAGAGGGUGAUCGGCCACACUGGAACUGAGACACGGUCCAGACUCCUACGGGAGGCAGCAGUAGGGAAUCUUCCGCAAUGGGCGAAAGCCUGACGGAGCAACGCCGCGUGAGUGAUGAAGGUCUUCGGAUCGUAAAACUCUGUUAUUAGGGAAGAACAAAUGUGUAAGUAACUAUGCACGUCUGGACAGUACUUAAUCAGAAAGCCACGGCUAACUACGU
This 495-nucleotide ribosomal RNA is filed under the name uncultured bacterium. RNAcentral describes it as "partial 16S ribosomal RNA". It matches the Rfam family "Bacterial small subunit ribosomal RNA", at positions 29 to 506 of the family's 1533-position model. The record is from RNAcentral.